GAUCAUGGCUCAGGAUGAACGCUAGCUACAGGCUUAACACAUGCAAGUCGAGGGGAAACGACAGAGGAAGCUUGCUUCCUUUGGGCGUCGACCGGCGCACGGGUGGGUAACGCGUAUCCAACCUUCCCGCAAGUAAGGGAUAACCCGUAGAAAUGCGGCCUAAUACCUUAUGUUUUCCUUUAGAUGGCAUCUGAUGAGGAACAAAGAUCCGUCGCUUGCGGAUGGGGAUGCGUCUGAUUAGUUAGUCGGG
Molecule: ribosomal RNA, 250 nt
Filed under: uncultured bacterium
Lineage: Bacteria
Description: partial 16S ribosomal RNA
Rfam family: Bacterial small subunit ribosomal RNA
Source: RNAcentral